CCAGAACGAUGGUCGGGCACCUUUAGGCGGUGUUCUGGAUAAGUAGGCCGGUCCGAAAGAACCUGUUGAAACUAAGACCCGA
RNAcentral lists this non-coding RNA (82 nucleotides) under Aspergillus niger CBS 513.88. Lineage: Eukaryota; Fungi; Ascomycota; Eurotiomycetes; Eurotiales; Aspergillaceae. The record is from RNAcentral.